GUUUACAACUCCCAAACCCCUGUGAACAUACCAAUUGUUGCCUCGGCGGAUCAGCCCGCUCCCGGUAAAACGGGACGGCCCGCCAGAGGACCCCUAAACUCUGUUUCUAUAUGUAACUUCUGAGUAAAACCAUAAAUAAAUCAAAACUUUCAACAACGGAUCUCUUGGUUCUGGCAUCGAUGAAGAACGCAGCAAAAUGCGAUAAGUAAUGUGAAUUGCAGAAUUCAGUGAAUCAUCGAAUCUUUGAACGCACAUUGCGCCCGCCAGUAUUCUGGCGGGCAUGCCUGUUCGAGCGUCAUUUCAACCCUCAAGCCCCCGGGUUUGGUGUUGGGGAUCGGCGAGCCCUUGCGGCAAGCCGGCCCCGAAAUCUAGUGGCGGUCUCGCUGCAGCUUCCAUUGCGUAGUAGUAAAACCCUCGCAACUGGUACGCGGCGCGGCCAAGCCGUUAAACCCCCAACUUCUGAAUGUGACCUCGA
RNAcentral lists this small RNA (475 nucleotides) under Fusarium proliferatum. Its description in RNAcentral is "eukaryotic LSU rRNA". The stretch from base 145 to 298 matches the Rfam family "5.8S ribosomal RNA". The record is from RNAcentral. Lineage: Eukaryota; Fungi; Ascomycota; Sordariomycetes; Hypocreales; Nectriaceae.